CUUAAUCUCUUUCGCCACCGAGAUCAUCUUAGGCCUGUCUUCAUUCCUCUCCUCGCAGCAUCUCAAUGCCAGGUCGAGAAACAUUUUCAUCUGACCAGGCCUCAUCUGGUUCGAACCACCCCCGAAUUCAAUAGGUUCUCCUCUCUCCUGCAGAUUUUUGACAUAAUCAAGAAGCAAUAUUUCAGGAUACAAUCCGCCAUCUGAUUCAUCCCAAUAUGCUGGUUUUCCCAUGAGAAGAACCAACAUAAGGAUUCCAAAACUGAACACAUCUGAAUAUUCUGUCAGUCUAUCAGUCGAGAGAUAAAUAGGAUCCAUAUAUCCAUAAGUUCCAAACACGUGCUCUUCUUCAGUCCACGUUUUACCCUCAGGGAGCGUUACGGCCUUGGAAAAACCAGUCAGCUUAGCCAUCCCAUUCUUAUCCAACAAAACAUUAGACGGAUUGAUAUUUCUAUGUAUAAUGAUUCUAGGGAAAGCCGUGUGAAGAUAAGCGAUAGCCCUCGCAACCGCUUUGGCAAUCUUCAAACGAACAUUCCACGGUAACAAAGGCGCGCCCUCGCAACCAACACUUCCUCGAACGUUCAAAAAUCUAUAUUCUAGGUUUUCAAACACCAACACCGGACAAGGAAAGUCGAGACAACAUCCCAUGAGUUGGAGGAAACCACUGUAAUUACUUACCCGAGACGACAAGACGAUAUCAUUGUACGGCGCGACUGGAUGGAUUUGAUGCCAUUUGUCUGUAAAUUUCUUGAUCGCGUAAGAUCUGCCUUCGAUGACGGCCUUGUACCAAGUAAAGGCUUCUGGUAUAUCAUGGAGAUAAAACUUGGGGUCGAAGUGAUCUGUGGCCUUGGAGAUUUGAUCAGAAGAGAAGAUUCGGAUAGGGUUUGAUACACCGUUACAGUCUGCAAUGAGUUGCUGAAGAAAGAUGCUUCCAUUUUCGAGGAACCACUUUUUCUCUUUUUCCUUCUGCUUCUCCUUCUUCUUUCCCCAGCAUUCCAUUGACGAAUGAUGCCUAGGAUUGCAAAAUCUGCAAUACCGUUGAGACAGAGACGCUCUUACAGUUUUUUUUUUGCUAAAAAGAAGCUCUUACAGUUCUGUUUUGAGAAAAAUAAAAGACUAUUGAUUCAUCAAUACGCGUGGAUCUCAAAAUAUGAACAUCCAAGUCCCGUCCAACACGCCUACAAAAAGAAGACAACGUCCAAUACGACAACGUCAAAUAAAUAACAAACUUAUAUUGACUGAGAUACAUUAGAUACACCUUUGGUCAGCUUAAUAUUUCUUCUAGUCUCCGUAUAAUAUUCCGUUUCUUGACCAUUCUUGAUGCCCGAACCUGGCCUAAAGUCCGUAAAGCUUGGGCUUUAGGCGCCACACAAUAUAUAUAUUUUAGGGGCGCCAAUACUAGGUAAUUCUCUUAGGUCUAGUGGCUUGAGUUCUACUCCUUUUAUAUCACAUGUGCAGGCUCGAUUCCUGUUUUCUUCAAAAUUUCCAUUUUUUUAUAAUAAUUGAAAGAAUCUAAUUGAUUAUGAUUCCUUUAUUGAUGAUCUUAGUUUCUUUAUAUUGUAUUAAAUGAUAUAGUCAUAUAAAUAGAGUAAAUCAAUUAAUUUAUUUUUCCAAAUCGGUGCCACACUCUUCAUUUUCGCUCUUCUUUCUUCUUUUUUUAUGCAUUGUUCUGUUUUUCAAAUUUGAGUAGAAUUAAGUUGUUCUUGUUUUUUUUUCUGGUAAAAAAGUUAUUCUUGUUACUAAUGCGUUUGUAGAAAGUGUACUGGCAACAAAAUAAAAAAUCAGCUAGUAAAUUAGAGUAAUCUGAAACCAAAAAUAUUUUCAAGUAAAAUGUUAAAUUGUAUAUGAACGUUUUAGAAUCAUUAUUUUAUCAAUAUGAUAGAUCAAUAUAUUAGGGUUCUUGAUGAAUUUUUUUGUUUGGUUUUAAAAAGUUAAGCUUAUUAAAAAUUGUUGUUGUUCCGUAUUUCAUUUUAAAACAAAAUUUGGAGUAAAAAAUGCUUCUAAUUCCAUUAUAUUUCUCACUCUAUAAUAGCAUAUACAACUAUACAAUUACUCUAUAAAUGAAAUAAUAAUUUUAUUUUUUUGUUCAUUACUUUGUUUUUUUAUUUUAAAACAGAAUAGUGUUGAAAUAAACUCAAUUUCAUUAUAGAAUUAUUUCAGUUUGAGGAAAAAAAUUUCAUUAUAGUGGGCAUAAUUUUUUUAAUGCGCUUUAGGCGCCAUAAAACUCCGGACCGACACUGUUGAUGCCUCUAAUCCAUUCUUGCAACCUUAACCUCGCCUUUUCUUUAUCUCCUUGUUCUGAAGCUGUAAAUUAUAUCUUCCCCAAAUUGAUUUCGUCUCUUCUUUUCCUUUUCUCCUUGGACAUAGCUAUGCAAUUUAUUUUGCUCUGGUUAAUUUCAUUGUGACAUAUUUGCUAGUAAUGACAAACAUACAUCCAUAAAUAGUAGCUUUCAGUUUGUUUUUGUUCUUCUUUAAAGCUUAUGCAUGUCUCUGGGAAUAACAAAUGAACGAUGCAAAAAAAGAAUGAGAAACUCAAAACUUGUUAGACAAGCCAACAAAUACAAAAAAAAGAAAGAAAGAAAAACAAAGAAAAAGAAGGUGGAAGUGGAAGUGGUAAUUAGACAUAAACAAAAUGGUUACAAGGAAUUCCAUUCAAUUGCCACAUCCCGCAUUUUUCUUCUUCUUCUUCAAGCUCAUUCUCAUCUUCUUCGAUCUCAUCACCAGAAUCAUAAUAAUAGCCUCACAGUCAUCACCAGGUAUAGGUUCACUCUCAUCUCUGUCAUGUAUAUAUUAUAUAUGUGUAAAUAAUCGUGGGGUCCACAAUUAUUGUGGAAACCCAUAAAUAAGGGUUCUUUGGGAUUCUUAAAACCUUAUUUUAAGAACCCUUACCUAUGGGGUUCCAUAAAAAUUAUAGACCCCACAAUUACUUAUACAUAUAUAAUAUAUACAUACAUAUAUAUAUACAUAACACAUAUACUAAGAACUCCAACGGGAAGGUGCUCUGAGGCAAUUAAAGUUUCAAAAUUCCAAAAUUUUUUUUUUUUUUUACAAAAUAUCAACUUUUAUCGGUGAACAAGUUUGAAACUCACUCUUUUGCACAUGCAGUCUGAAUGAUCAACACAAAACUUUCAUGAGAUUUUGAUUUGUAGCCUAAUCUUGACAAACAAUUUCAAGAAUACAUUCAAUUUAAGCAAAAAACAAAAAAAUACACAUUCAAGCAGGUUUUCGAAACUACGCUUCCUGCUUUUGGAUCUAAUCCCUGAUGCUAAUAUCCUUGCUCCUUAAUUCAACAUGAAGCUUUUCUGGAAAUGAGAACCAUCUAACAUGUUCUGCAUGCUUUCAGAACCUAAAGAUAGAUUCAUUUACCCUCAAAACUCUUUCUUAAUCAAAAUAAAAGUUUUACUCGAAAAUCAUAUAUCAUAUUAAAUCACAAAUGUAACAAAUACACAACCGUAUAACCACAAAUAUCAGAUCUUUAGAUCUGACCAUCCUCAGAACAAUCAAAUGAUCAUUGUUUCUAUUAGCUUAAUCUCUUUCGCCACCGAGAUCAUCUUAGGCCUGUCUUCAUUCCUCUCCUCGCAGCAUCUCAAUGCCAGGUCGAGAAACAUUUUCAUCUGACCAGGCCUCAUCUGGUUCGAACCACCCCCGAAUUCAAUAGGUUCUCCUCUCUCCUGCAGAUUUUUGACAUAAUCAAGAAGCAAUAUUUCAGGAUACAAUCCGCCAUCUGAUUCAUCCCAAUAUGCUGGUUUUCCCAUGAGAAGAACCAACAUAAGGAUUCCAAAACUGAACACAUC
This 3791-nucleotide long non-coding RNA is filed under the name Brassica napus (rape). Its description in RNAcentral is "long non-coding RNA (BNAP_LNC018752)". Lineage: Eukaryota; Viridiplantae; Streptophyta; Magnoliopsida; Brassicales; Brassicaceae. The record is from RNAcentral.